GAAAGGAAGAUUAAUACAAGAUGGCAUCAUGAGUUCACAUGUUCACAUGAUUAAAGGUAUUCCGGUAGACGAUGGGGAUGCGUUCCAUUAGAUAGUAGGCGGGGUAACGGCCCACCUAGUCUUCGAUGGAUAGGGGUUCUGAGAGGAAGGUCCCCCACAUUGGAACUGAGACACGGUCCAAACUCCUACGGGAGGCAGCAGUGAGGAAUAUUGGUCAAUGGGCGAGAGCCUGAACCAGCCAAGUAGCGUGAAGGAUGACUGCCCUAUGGGUUGUAAACUUCUUUUAUAAAGGAAUAAAGUCGGGUAUGGAUACCCGUUUGCAUGUACUUUAUGAAUAAGGAUCGGCUAACUCCGUGCCAGCAGCCGCGGUAAUACGGAGGAUCCGAGCGUUAUCCGGAUUUAUUGGGUUUAAAGGGAGCGUAGAUGGAUGUUUAAGUCAGUUGUGAAAGUUUGCGGCUCAACCGUAAAAUUGCAGUUGAUACUGGAUAUCUUGAGUGCAGUUGAGGCAGGCGGAAUUCGUGGUGUAGCGGUGAAAUGCUUAGAUAUCACGAAGAACUCCGAUUGCGAAGGCAGCCUGCUAAGCUGCAACUGACAUUGAGGCUCGAAAGUGUGGGUAUCAAACAGGAUUAGAUACCCUGGUAGUCCACACGGUAAACGAUGAAUACUCGCUGUUUGCGAUAUACUGCAAGCG
RNAcentral lists this ribosomal RNA (691 nucleotides) under uncultured bacterium. Its description in RNAcentral is "bacterial SSU rRNA". It matches the Rfam family "Bacterial small subunit ribosomal RNA", at positions 153 to 845 of the family's 1533-position model. The record is from RNAcentral.